GUGAGGAAUAUUGGUCAAUGGGCGAGAGCCUGAACCAGCCAAGUCGCGUGAAGGAAGAAGGAUCUAUGGUUCGUAAACUUCUUUUGCAGGGGAAUAAAGUGCAGGACGUGUUCUGUUUUGUAUGUACCCUGAGAAUAAGGAUCGGCUAACUCCGUGCCAUCAGCCGCGGUAAUACGGAGGAUCCGAGCGUUAUCCGGAUUUAUUGGGUUUAAAGGGUGCGUAGGUGGAUUGAUAAGUCAGCGGUGAAAGUUUGCAGCUUAACUGUAAAAUUGCCGUUGAAACUGUCGGACUUGAGUGUAAAUGAGGUAGGCGGAAUGCGUGGUGUAGCGGUGAGAUGCAUAGAUAUCACGCAGAACUCCGAUUGCGAAGGCAGCUUACUAAGCUACAACUGACACUGAAGCACGAAAGCGUGGGGAUCAAACAGGAUUAGAAACCCCAGUAGUCC
Molecule: ribosomal RNA, 445 nt
Filed under: uncultured bacterium
Lineage: Bacteria
Description: partial 16S ribosomal RNA
Rfam family: Bacterial small subunit ribosomal RNA
Source: RNAcentral